AAUAUCUCGAACUUUCACGACAAAAAGACCAUUUUCCCGAAAUUCAAUAUAUGUAUCAGUGAGAGGUGCUAAAGUUUGUAUGGAAGUCUAUGGGAAAACAUUUGGUGGUGUUUGUCCUAUAGAAAAGCAAUGCAUUAUCAAGAAGGAAGAGAUUAAUGAACCCUACCCUCUUACAAUGAACAAAACAUGGACACACUCGGGAUGAUCCUUUUGCUUUCAUUCAGAGUUUCAAGAUGUGGGUCUGAUUGACUGGGGUGUGAAAUGUAACAGCCAAUGGUGUACUUAAGCUAAGACUGUCAGUCCCAAUAUUCAAGAGCAAUGCAUUAUCAAGAAGGAAGAGAUUAAUGAACCCUACCCUCUUACAAUGAACAAAACAUGGACACACUCGGGAUGAUCCUUUUGCUUUCAUUCAGAGUUUCAAGAUGUGGGUCUGAUUGACUGGGGUGUGAAAUGUAACAGCCAAUGGUGUACUUAAGCUAAGACUGUCAGUCCCAAUAUUCAAGAGGUGAGAUAAGCAAUGGAUAUGUGUUCUAAAUUUACUAAAUUGACCACUUUUUAUAAAUGUUUCUUUUACUCUAUAGGAAAAACCCCUACAUAAACAAAUACAUGGGCGCAGACAUUUUGGACACCCAAGGUUGUGCGGAGGAGAAAAUGCUAGCUGGCGCGUGAUUGGUCAAUAAGAGAAAAGACUUGUUAUGUAUUUGACAAGUGAAAUAAAGUUGAUAAAAAUCUGA
Long non-coding RNA from Saccostrea cuccullata (small rock oyster), 734 nucleotides. RefSeq lists it as uncharacterized. The record is from RefSeq and is a predicted model, not a curated record. The transcript has 5 exons. Lineage: Eukaryota; Metazoa; Mollusca; Bivalvia; Ostreida; Ostreidae.